Molecule: ribosomal RNA, 172 nt
Filed under: uncultured bacterium
Lineage: Bacteria
Description: partial 16S ribosomal RNA
Rfam family: Bacterial small subunit ribosomal RNA
Source: RNAcentral
GAAUUGCUAGUAAUCGUAGGUCAGCAUACUACGGUGAAUACGUUCCCGGGCCUUGUACACACCGCCCGUCAAACCAUGAGAGUUGGCAACACCCGAAGUCGGUAGUCUAACCGCAAGGAGGACGCCGCCGAAGGUGGGGUUNAUGAUUAGGGUUAAGUCGUAACAAGGUAAC